UACGGAGGGUGCUAGCGUUGUUCGGAAUUACUGGGCGUAAAGGGCUCGUAGGUGGCCAACUAAGUCAGACGUGAAAUCCCUCGGCUUAACCGGGGAACUGCGUCUGAUACUGGAUGGCUUGAGUUCGGGAGAGGGAUGCGGAAUUCCAGGUGUAGCGGUGAAAUGCGUAGAUAUCUGGAGGAACACCGGUGGCGAAGGCGGCAUCCUGGACCGACACUGACACUGAGGAGCGAAAGCCAGGGGAGCAAACGGG
RNAcentral lists this ribosomal RNA (253 nucleotides) under uncultured bacterium. Its description in RNAcentral is "partial 16S ribosomal RNA". It matches the Rfam family "Bacterial small subunit ribosomal RNA", at positions 524 to 776 of the family's 1533-position model. The record is from RNAcentral.